This 377-nucleotide ribosomal RNA is filed under the name Halarcobacter bivalviorum. Its description in RNAcentral is "bacterial LSU rRNA". It matches the Rfam family "Bacterial large subunit ribosomal RNA", at positions 1293 to 1663 of the family's 2925-position model. Lineage: Bacteria; Pseudomonadati; Campylobacterota; Epsilonproteobacteria; Campylobacterales; Arcobacteraceae. The record is from RNAcentral.
CAUGCAGGCAUGAGUAGCGAUAAAAGAGGUGAGAAUCCUCUUCGCCGAAAACCCAAGGUUUCCUACGCGAUGCUCGUCAUCGUAGGGUUAGUCGGGUCCUAAGUCGAGUCCGAAAGGGGUAGACGAUGGCAAAUUGGUUAAUAUUCCAAUACCAACAUAUAAGCGCGAUGUGGGGACGCAUAGAGUUAAUCGAGCUCACUGAUGGAAUAGUGGGUCGAAGGACGUAGGUUGUUACUUAGGCAAAUCCGGGUAACGUUAGACCGAGAUCUUACAGGCCGUUGACGCCCUCCGGGGAAGAUUCGGAAUCGAUGAUACUGUCGUGCCAAGAAAAGCCACUAAGUAUAUUAUAUGUUGCCCGUACCGUAAACCGACACAGG